This 424-nucleotide ribosomal RNA is filed under the name uncultured bacterium. RNAcentral describes it as "bacterial SSU rRNA". It matches the Rfam family "Bacterial small subunit ribosomal RNA", at positions 355 to 776 of the family's 1533-position model. The record is from RNAcentral.
UAAGGAAUAUUGGUCAAUGGAGGCAACUCUGAACCAGCCAUGCCGCGUGCAGGAAGAAUGCCCUCUGGGUUGUAAACUGCUUUUAUCAGGGAAUAAACCCUUCUACGUGUAGGAGGCUGAAUGUACCUGAGGAAUAAGGAUCGGCUAACUCCGUGCCAGCAGCCGCGGUAAUACGGAGGAUCCAAGCGUUAUCCGGAUUUAUUGGGUUUAAAGGGUGCGUAGGCGGCUUAUUAAGUCAGGGGUGAAAGACGGUGGCUCAACCAUCGCAGUGCCUUUGAUACUGAUGAGCUUGAAUAUACUUGAGGUAGGCGGAAUGUGACAAGUAGCGGUGAAAUGCAUAGAUAUGUCACAGAACACCGAUUGCGAAGGCAGCUUACCAAGGUAUGAUUGACGCUGAGGCACGAAAGCGUGGGGAUCAAACAGG